GGUUUGACAUAUAAGUAGUAGGGAACUGAAAAGGGACUGACCCUUCGGGGAGCUUAUACAGGUGCUGCAUGGCUGUCGUCAGCUCGUGUCGUGAGAUGUUCGGUUAAGUCCGCUAACGAGCGCAACCCUCGCUGUGUGUUACAAGUGUCACACGGAACUGCCGGUCAUAAACCGGAGGAAGGUGGGAUGACGUCAAGUCAGCAUGGCCUUUAUAUCCUGGGCUACACACACGCUACAAUGGGAAGGGACAAUAGGUAGCGAAGCCGCGAGGUGGAGCCAAUCCAGCAAAACUUCCCUCAGUUCAGAUUGCAGGCUGCAACUCGCCUGCAUGAAGUUGGAGUUGCUAGUAACCGCAGGUCAGCAAUACUGCGGUGAAUACGUUCCCGGGGCUU
RNAcentral lists this ribosomal RNA (392 nucleotides) under uncultured Anaerolineaceae bacterium. RNAcentral describes it as "bacterial SSU rRNA". It matches the Rfam family "Bacterial small subunit ribosomal RNA", at positions 978 to 1382 of the family's 1533-position model. Lineage: Bacteria; Bacillati; Chloroflexota; Anaerolineae; Anaerolineales; Anaerolineaceae. The record is from RNAcentral.